GAUCACCCGACAGGCGCCUAUGCAGACCACCCUCUCCGGAUUCAUCGGCUCCGCCCAAAGGGUGGGGCUGCCAACAAAAGGUGAAACAGAGACAAAAUCCACAAUGAAGCGGCGGCGCGACGGGGAAUAUGCGAACUCAUAUCCUAUCGGUUCACGAACGGCCAACACACUGGCUUCGCAGCUUCGCCAUCUUCGCCCACACCUCUGCAGUGGUUUUUUCGCGCACUCGAAGUAUGGCCGUCGCUUGCACCCUUGCAACGCAUUUGCACUUUGCAAGGCACCAGUAAUUCGCACUGUUGUCUCAAGCCUACACCCUGCUCGCAACAGCGGCGAUGGGGAGCUGCUUGUCUCACCACUGGACACCUUCAGAUAUUCCAUCCUGAGCACUGCAUGGGACCCCAGAGAUGAGUACAUCAUUGCCGCUCAACGCUCCGGCUUUCAGCUUUUCGGCGCGUCCUCGUGGCUUGCAGAUGGCAAGGUGCCAUGCGAAACAUCGAAGCCAGUUCUGGAGCUCAAAUCGGCCACGGUGCAAGCACGACUAGGAGGAGAAAAUAGAAUCAGCUUUGGGCUCUUAGUCACACAGUUUCUUGGCAGCUCAUUAAACACCAUUUGUGGUUAUAGUGGUGCUCAACAGCUCGAUAUUUUUGACCUGGAGGACUUGGAUGAAGCAACAGGAGAGCCGCUCCGUACGUACAACCUUCGCGCUUUACGAUUUGACAGCUGCUCUCCGCUUGUGAGUAGCGUCUCGGCAACCACCGCCGUAGUAACAGUGUCAGACGCCGUCGCUGUCGCUGCUUUGUCCAACGGCUGUACUGCACUUGUCGAUGUGCGGACUGCAAGUCCUGUGCUUUGUACUGAGGCCCCGCCACCACCUGCAAUUUUGAGUGCGUGUAACCCGGGCACGCGACGAGUUGCGCAAGGAACAGCAAUCACGGCCGUUGAAGUAGCGGAUCGUAGCAAUUGCGUUGAGUUACUGACUGGUACCAAAGAUGGAAUGCUCGUACUCUGGGACUUGCGAAAGCGUAACGAGCCUGUUGCAAUAAGUUCUGUCGGUGGAGAGAUCGAAGCGCUGCACGUUAUCGGCCCAUUAUCGUCGUGCAGGUGCGGUGCGCCAAUGUUGUGGCUCAACACCGAUUCUGGCGACAUUGCUUGCUUCUCAAUUGGUGCGUCGUCUUUUGAAGAAGUGACGCGCGUCAGCACCAGCGACUCACGCCGCACUCAACUUUCAGCCAACCUCUCACCACCAAAGCUCUCUGUUAUGCCUCUGCUCGAUUGUCUCAUUUAUCCCCAUGUUUCGUCAAACAGUCUUUUGUUUUACGAUAUCGGCCGCCCUCCCUGUGCGACCGAAAGCCAAUCAACCGCUGGUGUUUUGAAACGCAGCUUCACCGGUACGCAGAAAAAUAAGCAAACAUCCUUUAUGGAUGGCUUCAUGGCUGCCAGAGUGCUUCUGCCUGAGGGUGAGAGCGAUGACGACUGCGCGUUUUUGCCCUCUGAUUUGAAGAAGAGCACAUGGUCCCCGUCCCUUCUUUUCUCUUGCCCAUUUUCUGAGUGGUCAGACCAGAUAUGUAGCGUUUCUGCGUCUAACAAACACAGCGCAGUUUGUGUCGGGGGUGAUGACGGCGACUUGCAUGUGCUCUCCGACUCUGCCUCAUAGAUCUAGAGAAAAAAAAGCCGCCUAAAAAAAAGCUGAGUCUGAAGAAAACAAAGGUUUCUCUGGUAAUACGGCUGUUUAUCACUUCUCCGUGACCCUGCUACCGGGCUGUCUUAUGUCGAUGCGUGUGUUUGAUCUUGUUUUCAGCUCGCACAGCUGUUGGGAAGAGUCCCCGCUGGGUAGCAAGGCCGAGCUUAUUUUUUCUGUGAAGGGCGUAGGUCUUUGAAGACCAAGACAUCCUUUAU
Molecule: unclassified non-coding RNA, 1896 nt
Filed under: Leishmania donovani
Lineage: Eukaryota; Euglenozoa; Kinetoplastea; Trypanosomatida; Trypanosomatidae
Description: gene:LdHU3.36.7430(CDS-product:hypothetical_prote in_conserved)
Source: RNAcentral